Long non-coding RNA from Telopea speciosissima, 301 nucleotides. RefSeq lists it as uncharacterized. Lineage: Eukaryota; Viridiplantae; Streptophyta; Magnoliopsida; Proteales; Proteaceae. The record is from RefSeq and is a predicted model, not a curated record. The transcript is spliced from 3 exons.
AAUUACAAAAGAGGUUGUGAAGACACCAGAAAAAAGUGGGAGGCUCACAUUUCCAAUAUCUUUGAAACAGUCGGGCUUGCGUGAUUCUCCGAUGCAGUGCUUCAUAAGAAGGGAGAGAGCAACUUCUACUUAUCGACUGUAUCUUGGUCUGACCCCUGCUCUGUUGGGGGAGAAUGGAAAAUUGUUGUUUGUAGCAAGGAAGACUAGAAGGGCAACAAGUACAGAUUUUGUGAUAUCCUUGGAUGCAAAUGAUUUCUCUCAUGCAAGCAAUACAUGUGUUGGAAACCUGAGAGGCAAGUUU